RNAcentral lists this long non-coding RNA (651 nucleotides) under Pongo abelii (Sumatran orangutan). Its description in RNAcentral is "lincRNA". The record is from RNAcentral. Lineage: Eukaryota; Metazoa; Chordata; Mammalia; Primates; Hominidae.
CAGGUACCCUGCAGGGAAGCGGGGGGCCCCGAGCUGGACUCCACCCAACACUGCCACCUCCCCAGCCUGUGUCCUCCCUACCACCCGAGGAGCUGAAGGACCCAACAGCACACCCUCAGUGGUUUCUGAAAGGAAGCAAAGCUCUUUCUACCCUUUUUCACUUUGGGUGAAAACGUGGCUGGGUUGACAAGUCGGUUUUUUAGAAAGGAAGCACUGAUUAGCGAGGGACUCGCCCAGCCAGAAGAGGGCUCUGCAAAGACAGCCCCAUCCCCAGGAUGGGAAUGCUGGAUUCAGACACCACAAACCAAGAGAACCCAGACUCUGGACGUGGAGCAGUACCAGGGUGAAAGACUUUUCCCACCGACAUGGUCACAUAGCCAUUCUCCUUGAAGUACUGGGGGAUGGUGGAGAAGUUUCCAGCAUGCACCCUCCAGUAGGAGUUGAAGUCGUACAGGCGGGUGGUGUCAGGUCUCCUGCCAGUGAGGAAAGAAACGCGGCUCGGGGCGCACACUGCUUGCUGUUAGGGAGCAGAAGCAGAGGGGGGACAUCUGCUGCUUCCCAAAUGCUACAUUUCUUCAAAUAAAAAGCAGAAGACAGCAUGCAGUACAUAAGGAACUCAUGUCUUGGUAGAGACAAAAUUGAAAUUCUUUU